This 323-nucleotide ribosomal RNA is filed under the name uncultured eukaryote. Its description in RNAcentral is "partial 18S ribosomal RNA". It matches the Rfam family "Eukaryotic small subunit ribosomal RNA", at positions 1470 to 1796 of the family's 1831-position model. The record is from RNAcentral.
CCCUUAGAUGUCCUGGGCCGCACGCGCGCUACACUGAACGGAUCAGCGCGUUUUCCCUUCCCGAGAGGGACGGGUAACCUGCUGGACCCCGUUCGUGGUAGGGAUCGGGGCUUGCAAUUAUUCCCCGUGAACCAGGAAUGCCCAGUAAGUGCAAGUCAUAAGCUUGCGUUGAUUACGUCCCUGCCCUUUGUACACACCGCCCGUCGCUACUACCGAUUGAGUGAUCCGGUGAAUAAUUCGGACUGCGGCAUUGACCGGUUCCCGAUCGUUGCUGCGGAAAGUUUAGUGAACCUUAUCACUUAGAGGAAGGAGAAGUCGUAACA